Molecule: ribosomal RNA, 980 nt
Filed under: uncultured bacterium
Lineage: Bacteria
Description: bacterial SSU rRNA
Rfam family: Bacterial small subunit ribosomal RNA
Source: RNAcentral
AGGAUAGCCCAGAGAGAUCUGGGGUAAUACUCCAUAGGCCCUCGUGCAUAAGUAUGAUGGUUAAAGAUGGCGAAUCCUUCGGGAUGCUGUCACCUCAGGAGGAACCUGCGUCCUAUCAGCUUGUUGGUGAGGUAACGGCUCACCAAGGCUAUGACGGGUAGCUGGAGUGAGAGCUUGGUCAGCCACACCGGGACUGAGACACUGCCCGGACUCCUACGGGAGGCUGCAGUCGAGAGUCUUUCUCAAUGGGCGAAAGCCUGAAGAUGCGACGCCGCGUGAAGGAUGAAGGUCUUCGGAUCGUAAACUUCUUUUGCAAAAGAAGAAAGCUCCGGUUCUAAUAAAGCCGGAGUGUGACGUUAUUUUGUGAAUAAGCCACGGCUAACUCCGUGCCAGCAGCCGCGGUAAUACGGAGGUGGCGAGCGUUACUCGGAAUGACUGGGUGUAAAGGGUCCGCAAGUGGUCUGCUAAGUGGGCGGUGAAAUACUUCUGCUCAACGGAAAAAUUGCCGUUCAAACUGGCAGACUAGAGGCCAAUAGAGGAGAGCGGAAUUGCCGGUGUAAGGGUGAAAUCUGUGGAUAUCGGCAGGAACGCCUGAUGCGAAAGCGGCUCUCUGGAUUGGUUCUGACACGCAUGGACGAAAGCUAGGGGAGCAAACAGGAUUAGAUACCCUGGUAGUCCUAGCCGUAAACUAUGGGCACUGGGUGUUCCUCUUUAUUGAGGGGUGCCGAAGCUAACGCGUUAAGUGCCUCACCUGGAGACUACGGCCGCAAGGCUAAAACUCAAAGGAAUUGACGGGGGCCCGCACAAGCGGUGGAACACGUGGUUUAAUUCGAUGCUACGCGAGGAACCUUACCAAGGCUUGACAUGCUGGACGUAGAUGCCUGAAAGGGCGUUCGAUCGGUAUCCAAUCCGAAACCAGCACAGGUGCUGCAUGGCUGUCGUCAGCUCGUGCCCGGGAGGUGUCCCGUUAAGUCGGGCAA